This is a long non-coding RNA of Hordeum vulgare subsp. vulgare (domesticated barley), 1332 nucleotides long. RefSeq lists it as uncharacterized. The transcript is spliced from 3 exons. The record is from RefSeq and is a predicted model, not a curated record. Lineage: Eukaryota; Viridiplantae; Streptophyta; Magnoliopsida; Poales; Poaceae.
CAAAUUCAGGUUAUGCCUCCGUCAUGCGCCACCAGACCAAACACCAUGUCCUAGGAUGAGUGCGCUACAGCAGUCAAUUUGCAAAUGUGCAGAAGAGCCUACAUAAAGGGUAAUUAGACUGGAGCUCGGUCUGAGUUUUGAUUCACUAGACGAAGCGUACUACUUCUAAAGUUUGUAUUUCUGGGAGAUCGGAUUUGGAAUUUGGUAUGACAAAAGCAGACUGAACACUGAGAGGACAAAAUCAAUGCGAGAAAUCCUUUGUGGCUGCUCGGGGGAGCCAGAGAUGGAGAAUAGUAGAUCUUGCAGAUGCGAGUGCCCUGCAUUGAUAAGGCUCUUGCAAGCGGUUGACAGCAGUUGGUACAUCACAUAGCACCGUGAGGGGCACGACCAUUCCAUGUCUAACAAUGGGAGAGAGGGUGCACUGGCCGUUGCACAAACAUAUCGACGUUUAUUACUAAAGAUUUGAUAAAGUAAUUAAGGGAAAAUAAUGUGAACCUUGGAAGGUGCACGACAUCAUAGACAGCUUCUCCGGAUCGGUCGAGAAGGUACCGUUCGAAAAAGAGGACAAUCAGGAGCAUCUGCGAUCAACCUUUAGAAGACUGCGAUCAAGCUGAUGUUGGCGCGAAGAAGACUUUGGAGGUCUUCGUAGCAUUAUUGCCGGAGACCCUGACUUGACCGUUUGGGCUAUUCUUGGAGCCAGAAUAGAUGUUUAUGUACGGCCGGAAUCAUAAGUCGUUUCCUUCUACUCGAUUCCUAUGUAGGGUCACAUCUCUGUAGUUCCUGGACAUCUCGAGCUUGGGGUCGACAGCGAGCGCUUGGAGCACGAACUUGAUGCUGGAGCAAGGAGGCCAUGGCGUCGACAAGGGAGAAGUGAUACAACAGAAACUCUCUUCGGAGAAGAUUUUGAAGCAGGAGCUGAACGACAGGGUUGGAGACGGUACCCUUGAAGGAUUCAACAAGCAUGACCCAGCUGCCGUCGCGCUGGCCAGCUACGAUGUGGUUGACUCCGGCACAAUCGGGGCACGCGUGAUGUAUGUGGCCGAAGAGGUUGGUUCUAGUGGAGUAGAGGAGGUGAGCAAAGUACUGUGCUUGCUCUGCUCCCGUUGUGCAAGAUAAGCGCACCAUCUUCAACAGUUUGUUGUAGCGUGCAUGCGCUGUGCUUGAGGCUGCAGACAAAAAAGAAAACUCGUCGAGUGUGAUAACGUCAUGAUUUAUGAAGGAAAACUCUAGUUUGUGCUUGUAAAGCCCAGUUGGCUGAGUACGCAAACAGUUGCAUCUCGUUGACACUAAAGUUCUUAUAUAUAGUAAUCAAAAUAGUUUUGUUUUUUGUUA